GCCCAUUUGCACAUAUUUUCUUCUAACUUCAUCUCUAAUCCGAGGCUCGUACUCGUUGAUGCAUUUGCGCAAUCCCGGAUCACCAAUAAUAUCAUUAACAUCCUCACAUAACGGCUCAAUAGGUUGUGGUUGCGAUUGUGAUUGUGAUUGUGGUUGUGAGUCUUGUGACGUAGUUGUUGUGAACGGCCUCUUAGUUCGUUGAAAAUAUUUUUU
Molecule: long non-coding RNA, 213 nt
Filed under: Panax ginseng (ginseng)
Lineage: Eukaryota; Viridiplantae; Streptophyta; Magnoliopsida; Apiales; Araliaceae
Description: long non-coding RNA (PGIN_LNC006636)
Source: RNAcentral